Cinara cedri is the source of this 532-nucleotide non-coding RNA. The record is from the annotation of a GenBank genome assembly. NCBI's taxonomy places the organism in Eukaryota, Metazoa, Arthropoda, Insecta, Hemiptera, Aphididae.
CGAAAACAUUAAGACGUCUCGUCGUCGUGUCGUUUACGUUCAUCGAUGCGAAAUAUUACCUAACCUAACCUAUAAAUCCCAUGAAAAUAUUACAUAUGACGUACAUCAUAAUAAUAUUAUACUUAACAGAGUGUCGUAUAGUGUGCUCUUAACGACGAGUGGAAAUUUCGCCGGGAGCACGCAUAUGUAUAGUGUUGAAAGGCUCACAUGGCCGUGCGCACACACGGUGUCGUUGGCGGAACAGAUUUCCAAAAUUUACGCCGACGUAAACAAAUUAACCCGCGAAGACGAAAAUAACAGAUGGCCAAGUGCGCGAGACCAUUACGAGAGGAGCUGCAUAGAAAGAGAAAGAGUGCAUUAUAAUAAUAAUAAUAAUAUAUUGUCCUACGCACCGGCAGCCACUAAAAAAAAAAAAAAAAAAAAAAAAAAAAAAAUAGAAGAUAAAAUAAGGUUGUUAUGUGUGUGUUCUAUACAUCAUUAUUAUACAGGAGUCCUCGCUGUCACCAAGUUUCAGAUUGGUGUUUCUCACGGU